GUCCACGCCGUAAACGAUGAUCACUAGAUGUGGGUUUCCCUUGAGGAGAUCUGUGUCGAAGCUAACGCGUUAAGUGAUCCGCCUGGGGACUACGGUCGCAAGAUUAAAACUCAAAGGAAUUGACGGGGGUCCGCACAAGCGGUGGAACAUGUGGUUUAAUUCGACACUACGCGAGAAACCUUACCUAGGCUUGACAUAUUUUGUACUGUUGUGGAAACAUAAUUUUCCGGGAAACCGGACCAUUAUACAGGUGCUGCAUGGCUGUCGU
Molecule: ribosomal RNA, 268 nt
Filed under: uncultured bacterium
Lineage: Bacteria
Description: partial 16S ribosomal RNA
Rfam family: Bacterial small subunit ribosomal RNA
Source: RNAcentral